GACGAACGCUGGCGGCGUGCCUAAUACAUGCAAGUAGAACGCUGAAGCUUGGUGCUUGCCCCGAGCGGAUGAGUUGCGAACGGGUGAGUAACGCGUAGGUAACCUCCCUGGUAGCGGGGUAUAACUAUUGGAAACGGUAUCUAAUACCGCAUAACAGUAGCUAUCGCAUGCUUGCUUCUUGAAAGGUGCAAAUGCACCACUACCAGAUGGCCCUUCGUUGUAUUAGCUAGUUGCUGAGGUAACGGCUCACCAAGGCAACGCUACCGAGCCGACCCGAGAGGGUGAGCGGCCACACUGGGACUGAGACACGGCCCAGACGCACAGGGGAGGGAGCAGUAGGGAAUCUUGGGGAAUGGACGGAAGGCUGAGCGAGAAAGGCCGCGUGAGUGAAGAAGGGUUUCGGAUCGGAAAGCUCUGUUGUAAGAGAAGAAAGAGUGUGAGAGUGGAAAGUUCACACAGUGACGGUAUCUGAACAGAAAGGGACGGCUAACUACGUG
RNAcentral lists this ribosomal RNA (497 nucleotides) under uncultured bacterium. RNAcentral describes it as "partial 16S ribosomal RNA". It matches the Rfam family "Bacterial small subunit ribosomal RNA", at positions 28 to 507 of the family's 1533-position model. The record is from RNAcentral.